Carassius gibelio (silver crucian carp) is the source of this 1093-nucleotide long non-coding RNA. RefSeq lists it as uncharacterized. Lineage: Eukaryota; Metazoa; Chordata; Actinopteri; Cypriniformes; Cyprinidae. The record is from RefSeq and is a predicted model, not a curated record. The transcript has 3 exons.
UUUCAUAAAACAUACUGUAAAGUGUUCAUCUAGGUGUCAGCUAUAAUGCACACCUUUUAUAUUUUUCAUAAUUAUUCAAAUAGACUGUAAAUCAUGUGUAAAAUAUUGCUACUUUUCAUUACCGAAUGGGCUUAAAUACAAAUUUAAAGCUCAAUAAAAAUUGAACAGAAUGACUCACAUUCAUAAAACAUACUGUAAAGUGUUCAUCUAGGUGUCAGCUAUAAUGCACACCUUUUAUAUUUUUCAUAAUUAUUCAAAUAGACUGUAAAUCAUGUGUAAAAUAUUGCUACUUUUCAUUACCGAAUGGGCUUAAAUACAAAUUUAAAGCUCAAUAAAAAUUGAACAGGAUGACUCACUUUCAUAAAACAUACUGUAAAGUGUUCAUCUAGGUGUCAGCUAUAAUGCACACCUUUUAUAUUUUUCAUAAUUAUUCAAAUAGACUGUAAAUCAUGUGUAAAAUAUUGCUACUUUUCAUUACCGAAUGGGCUUAAAUACAAAUUUAAAGCUCAAUAAAAAUUGAACAGAAUGACUCACAUUCAAAAAACAUACUGUAAAGUGUUCAUCUAGGUGUCAGCUAUAAUGCACACCUUUUAUAUUUUUCAUAAUUAUUCAAAUAGACUGUAAAUCAUGUGUAAAAUAUUGCUAUUUUUCAUUACCGAAUGGGCUCAAAUGUAAAAUAUGCCAUAAUUUAAAGCUCAAUAGAAUUUGAACAGAAUGACUCACAUUCAUAAAACAUACUGUAAGGUGUUCAUUUAGGUGUCAACUAUAAGCCACACCAUUCAGAUUUUUCAUAAUUAUUCAAAUAAACUGUUAAUCAUAUGUAAAAUAUUGCUAUUUUUCAUUACCGAAUGGGCUCAAAUGUAAAAUAUGCCAUAAUUUGAACCUCAAUAGAAUUUGAACAGAAUGACUCACAUUCAUAAAACAUACUGUAAAGUGUUUAUCUAGGUGUCAGCUAUAAUGCACACCUUUUAUAUUUUUCAUAAUUAUUCAAAUAGACUGUAAAUUAUGUGUAAAAUAUUGCUACUUUUCAUUACCGAAUGGGCUUAAAUACAAAUUUAAAGCUCAAUAAAAAUUGAACAGAAUGACUCACAUU